Molecule: regulatory RNA element, 46 nt
Organism: Daphnia magna
Lineage: Eukaryota; Metazoa; Arthropoda; Branchiopoda; Diplostraca; Daphniidae
Rfam family: Histone 3' UTR stem-loop
About the family: The mRNAs of metazoan histone genes lack a poly-A tail. 3' end processing occurs at a site between a highly conserved stem-loop (modelled by this family) and a purine rich region around 20 nts downstream (the histone downstream element, or HDE).
Source: Rfam
AAAACGGCCCUUUUCAGGGCCACCAAAAUUUUUGAGAAAAAGUAAU